RNAcentral lists this unclassified non-coding RNA (222 nucleotides) under Hevea brasiliensis (rubber tree). Lineage: Eukaryota; Viridiplantae; Streptophyta; Magnoliopsida; Malpighiales; Euphorbiaceae. The record is from RNAcentral.
UUAGUUUUUUUUUUUUUUUUGAAAGAACAUUAUAGAGAGGUAAUGUAAUAUAGGUGUUUCAAGGCAAUGCCAAAAACAACAACAAAAAUUCAAAUAGCAUUCAAAGAUCUUAAUCAAACCCAACAAACAAAACUAAAUCUAACAAUUUUUCGAAUACGUACGUUUCCGAAAACAUAUAAAAACAAGGAAAAGGAGUAUAUACCGUGUUCUGUCCCAAAGGAG